GAUGAACGCUAGCGGCAGGCUUAACACAUGCAAGUCGAGGGGUAACAGAGAAAGCUUGCUUUUUGCUGACGACCGGCGCACGGGUGCGUAACGCGUAUGCAAUCUACCUUUUGCUAAGGGAUAGCCCAGAGAAAUUUGGAUUAAUACCUCAUAGUAUGUUUUUAUGGCAUCAUAUAGACAUUAAAGGUUACGGUAUAAGAUGAGUAUGCGUCCUAUUAGCUAGAUGGUAAGGUAACGGCUUACCAUUGCUACGAUAGGUAGGGGCCCUGAGAGGGGGAUCCCCCACACUGGUACCGAGACACGGACCAG
This 309-nucleotide ribosomal RNA is filed under the name uncultured bacterium. RNAcentral describes it as "bacterial SSU rRNA". It matches the Rfam family "Bacterial small subunit ribosomal RNA", at positions 28 to 334 of the family's 1533-position model. The record is from RNAcentral.